Long non-coding RNA from Lynx canadensis (Canada lynx), 1839 nucleotides. RefSeq lists it as uncharacterized. The record is from RefSeq and is a predicted model, not a curated record. NCBI's taxonomy places the organism in Eukaryota, Metazoa, Chordata, Mammalia, Carnivora, Felidae. The transcript is spliced from 3 exons.
AAUAAAUAAAAACGUGGAAAGAAAGAAAAAAAGAAAAGAAAAGAAACAGUGCCUUCAAAACGGCCAAGCUUUGAGAUAAGAAUUUAAUGAAUCUGUUGAAUUGACCUUAAACAGAAGAUUGGCAUUAGCAAAAAUUUAUAGAGAUCACAUAGUGUGUACCAAAACCUGGGCAUGAAAUUAGUAAUUCAAGAAUGAAUUGUCAGAUGUAGUUCUCCCUUUGGAGAGCGGGUAGUCCUAACAUACAAGUGCUUUAAGAAAUAUUUAUAAAGUGCUAGGGGACCACAGCCUACUCUGGGCUUGAGGGCGAGUGGUUCAGGAAAAGGUACUGAAAAAGAAGACAUUUGAGCCAAAGACUAGAGAAUGAGGAGCUUAACAGUAAGUAGAGGUCAGUGGAAGAAGAGAAGACCUUUGGGGCGCAGAAGACCGUGUGAGCAAAGGCACAGCAACCGGAAACACUGGUCGCCUUUUGUGAGAACCGGGGACCCAGUGGGGGAGGGAAAGAGGUAGGCUUUUCUCCAAGAAGGUCUUAUAUGUUUUGCAUUGUGAAAAUUUAAAGUGUUAAAAUUUUCUCUAGCAUGUGAAAUGUUCUGGAAAUGGUAAAAAUUUUGUCUGGAGUGUAGAGAAGAAGCUAAAGAUGUUGGCCGAGGCCAGGUAAUGAGAAGCUUCGUGAGCUACAUUCAGAAGCUUGGACUGUAGUGAGAAGGCAGUGACAGUCAGGAGCUACAGUGAAGUGACCAGCUCCGGCGAGGCUUUAACUGAGGAAAAGAGAGAGGGGGGCCUGGGAGCAACACGACGGGCUUGGGGUGCACUGCAGAGAGAUGGAGAAGUCAGGCAGAGGCAAGUUAUUUGGAAGGCAGGUUUCAUUGAUAGCCUCAGCGAUCCUAGAACCUCUCCCUUUCUUCCUCUGUGUCUGACUGCUUUUAAAGUAACCACAAGAAUUAUUGAGCACUUCAGAAUAGAUACUCUUUGGCUGCACAAAGAAAUAACAAGCAGGAAAUAAGGCAGCAUAGAGAGUAUCCACUCUCUAGACCCAAGUCUAGAAAUACAGGCCUGAGAGCUGUUCUAAAUCUGUAAAGGAUCUCCUUUACAACCUCAUCUACCCUUGCGUCCAUCAGAAAACUGCCAGUCUGCUUGUCACUUUAUUUCUCCUAGCUUUAAACAGUGGGGCAUAGCCCCAGAGCCCUCUCCACAGGUAAUUUGUACCCAAGCAACGUUAUUCUCCCAGGCCUCCAAAAAAUUUCUCUUCCGCCUCAAAAAGAAGCAAGAUUCGGUUACGAUAACUGACCUUCUGGCUUUAACUGUUUGGAAAGGAUGCUAUCUUAGACAAUUAAGUUUUGAAAGCUUCAAAUACAGUCAGCUUCAGAAUACAGUCGAAGCCUCUGAAUUCAAAACGUGAUAACAGUAUUCUCUUGGGAAGGUGACAUAUGACUGAAGCGUUAAGUAGGCGCACUGGUGGCUUUCCCAUAAUGUAAUGUUUCACACCAUGCUCGAGGGAUGGUUUCGAUGUGCUAAGAGUCUCUUUCCCCUUUUUAUUUAACACCGUGUGUUGUUUUCAUGUCCUGGGUAUGCCACGAGUAGCCUGGCUUUUAGUGUUAAGCAAAAUACAAGAAAAAUUUAUCAUAGAAUUCAUAGUGUAACUCUGUUUUUGCAGCAAAUUCCAGAUGUGUCUCCAACAGGAAAAUAUACAACUCUCUUGCCUUUGAUGAUUAUACUUACCAUUUCAGGCAUCAAAGAGAUUGUAGAAGAUUAUAAACGACAUAUGGCAGACAGAUUAAUCAACACAAAGAACACAAUAGUGUUCAGAGAGAAUGAAUGGAAAGUGAUUAUGUGGAAAGAGGU